RNAcentral lists this ribosomal RNA (465 nucleotides) under uncultured beta proteobacterium. RNAcentral's name for it is "bacterial SSU rRNA". It matches the Rfam family "Bacterial small subunit ribosomal RNA", at positions 338 to 795 of the family's 1533-position model. The record is from RNAcentral. Lineage: Bacteria; Pseudomonadati; Pseudomonadota; Betaproteobacteria.
CCUACGGGUGGCAGCAGUGGGGAAUUUUGGACAAUGGGCGAAAGCCUGAUCCAGCCAUGCCGCGUGAGUGAAGAAGGCCUUCGGGUUGUAAAGCUCUUUCAGCUGGGAAGAAAUCGCGCAGAAUAAUACUCUGCGUGGAUGACGGUACCAGCAUAAGAAGCACCGGCUAACUACGUGCCAGCAGCCGCGGUAAUACGUAGGGUGCGAGCGUUAAUCGGAAUUAUUGGGCGUAAAGCGUGCGCAGGCGGUUGUGCAAGACAGAUGUGAAAUCCCCGGGCUUAACCUGGGAACUGCAUUUGUGACUGCAUAACUAGAGUACGACAGAGGGGGGUAGAAUUCCACGUGUAGCAGUGAAAUGCGUAGAGAUGUGGAGGAAUACCGAUGGCGAAGGCAGCCCCCUGGGUCGAUACUGACGCUCAUGUACGAAAGCGUGGGAAGCAAACAGGAUUAGAUACCCUAGUAGUC